UUCUAACCGACGCGUUUCAAAUAGGACGAAACGUGCGUCCUGGAU
This 45-nucleotide non-coding RNA is filed under the name Schistosoma mattheei. The record is from RNAcentral. Lineage: Eukaryota; Metazoa; Platyhelminthes; Trematoda; Strigeidida; Schistosomatidae.